ACAAAGUUUUAUUCUUGCUUUUGUUUUUACAAUAAGGAUAAUUUUCAUAUAUUGAUUUCUUAAUGAUUAUUGGUAGUAAUUAAUAUUAUACAAUUAAGUUAUUUUGGAUAUAGUAUUCCUUUUAGUAUUGGUAAAAGGCGUGCCAGCUGCCGCGGUUAGACGUGAAAUGCAAGUAAAAAUUUUUGAUUAGGAGUUAAUUUUUUUUUGAAGAUCAAUGGUAUUUGAAUUAAUUAUUGGUGAAAUUAUUAAAUUUUAUUAUAUUGUAAAUGAUUAUAAUGAGGCUUUGAAGUGUAAAUAUAAACUAGGAUUAGAUACCCUAUUAUUAUAUAUUUAAAUUUUAUUGUCGGAGUAGUAGUAGUAGGGCUUGAAACUCAAAGAAUUUGGCGGUGUUUUAGUCUUUUCAGAGGAAUCUGUCUUGUAAUUGAUAAUACACGAUUUUCGUUACUUAGUUUUGUUAUCAGCUUAUAUACCGCCGUCAGUAAGAUUAUCUUUAGAGGGGAGAAAAUUUCAUUAUAUAUAAUUUUAUUUUAUGUCAGGUCAAGGUGUAGUUAAUGAUUAAGUGUUGAUGGAUUACAAUAAAGUUAUUUAUAUGAAUGGUAUCUUUAUACAGUUACUUGAAGGUGGAUUUGAUUGUAAAUUAAUUAAAAUUGAUUAUUUGAUUAUAGCUCUAGAAUGUGUACAUAUCGCCCGUCGCUCUCAUUUUAAGGUGAGAUAAGUCGUAACAUAGUAGAUGUACCGGAAGGUGUAUCUGGAAUGGA
Molecule: non-coding RNA, 758 nt
Filed under: Sclerogryllus punctatus
Lineage: Eukaryota; Metazoa; Arthropoda; Insecta; Orthoptera; Gryllidae
Source: RNAcentral